This 83-nucleotide transfer RNA is filed under the name Chloroflexota bacterium. RNAcentral describes it as "tRNA-Ser". It matches the Rfam family "tRNA". Rfam says of the family: Transfer RNA (tRNA) molecules are approximately 80 nucleotides in length. Their secondary structure includes four short double-helical elements and three loops (D, anti-codon, and T loops). RNAcentral also lists the same sequence under 2 other names. Lineage: Bacteria; Bacillati; Chloroflexota. The record is from RNAcentral.
GGAGAGGUCGCAUAGUGGCCUAGUGCGCUCGCCUGGAAAGCGGGUAGGUGAAAGCCUCGCGGGUUCGAAUCCCGCCCUCUCCG